RNAcentral lists this ribosomal RNA (477 nucleotides) under uncultured bacterium. RNAcentral describes it as "partial 16S ribosomal RNA". It matches the Rfam family "Bacterial small subunit ribosomal RNA", at positions 30 to 507 of the family's 1533-position model. The record is from RNAcentral.
AUGAACGCUGGCGGCGUGCCUCACACAUGCAAGUCGAACGGAGUCCAGCCUUUAAGACCUUCGGGUCAAAGAGGGGAAGACUGAGUGGCGGACGGGUGAGUAACACGUGGGCAACCUGGCUCAUAGAGGGGGAUAACAGAGAGAAAUUUCUGCUAAUACCGCAUAAGCACACACUGCCGCAUGGCAGAGGGUGAAAAGAGAAUCGCUAUGAGAUGGACCCGCGUCUGAUUAGCCAGUUGGCAGGGUAAGAGCCUACCAAAGCGACGAUCAGUAGCCGAUCUGAGAGGAUGAACGGCCACAUUGGGACUGAGACACGGCCCAAACUCCUACGGGAGGCAGCAGUGGGGGAUAUUGCACAAUGGGGGGAACCCUGAUGCAGCGACGCCGCGUGAGUGAAGAAGUAUUUCGGUAUGUAAAGCUCUAUCAGCAGGGAAGAUAAUGACAGUACCUGAAGAAGAAGCCCCGGCUAACUACGUG